CUACUUGGCCGCCCACGUUAACGUAAUUCGCUCGCUCGCGCAUUCCACGCGUGCCUGUCGCGUCGGCGUCAAGGCAAGGCUGGCCCUCCAGAUGUCGUUUCCCUCCCGCGCGUAGGCGAGCCGCUCCGACUCCUUUGCACCUGAUUGACUUUAUAGCUGUCCUCCCCGCGGAGAAGAAAGAGAACGGGCGUGGAUACAUCGUAAACCCCUCUAAAAAGAAGACAAUGGAACGAGCCCUUACGCGAGUGCAGAGUCGAGGAUGAUUUGACAAACUCUCGACCAGAGGGAUGCAGAACGAGACCUUACGCGAGGAUUGUUCGACAAAAGCUAGAAGAUGAAUGACACAAACGGAUGUUCGAGGGUGCACGAAGGCCCAUUUCUCGAUCCCGACGACGCCCCUGUCGACGCUUCCGGUAUCCGGUUCCGGUAGCGAUUUUUAUGCGAGCAUUCGCGAAGGGGAAGAACAGAGACGAGCGAUGAUUCCACAGAAUCUGAAAAGUCAGUCGAGCGUAAACGGCGGAGCACACACAAAGAGGGUUGGCCUUGAUGCCACGAGAAAGGGAAGAAAAACAGUUAUUGUGCGUGGAAGAAGGGCUGGAAAGAGGAACCGCCGAAACGAUACGUCGUCGCAUCCGCCCGCUCGAGCAAACCAAGAAUCACAGAGUGUCAUUUGUCAGCGAAAGCGCACGUAAUGUUCGCAUGGGAUUUCGCCGGAAACUCGU
Molecule: long non-coding RNA, 722 nt
Organism: Camponotus floridanus (Florida carpenter ant)
Lineage: Eukaryota; Metazoa; Arthropoda; Insecta; Hymenoptera; Formicidae
Exons: 3
Source: RefSeq, a predicted model, not a curated record